UACGAAGGGGGCUAGCGUUGCUCGGAAUCACUGGGCGUAAAGCGCACGUAGGCGGGUCGUUAAGUCAGGGGUGAAAUCCUGGAGCUCAACUCCAGAACUGCCCUUGAUACUGGCGAUCUCGAGUUCGGGAGAGGUGAGUGGAACUGCGAGUGUAGAGGUGAAAUUCGUAGAUAUUCGCAAGAACACCAGUGGCGAAGGCGGCUCACUGGCCCGGUACUGACGCUGAGGCGCGAAAGCGUGGGGAGCAAACAGG
RNAcentral lists this ribosomal RNA (253 nucleotides) under uncultured bacterium. RNAcentral describes it as "partial 16S ribosomal RNA". It matches the Rfam family "Bacterial small subunit ribosomal RNA", at positions 524 to 776 of the family's 1533-position model. The record is from RNAcentral.